Molecule: ribosomal RNA, 484 nt
Filed under: uncultured bacterium
Lineage: Bacteria
Description: partial 16S ribosomal RNA
Rfam family: Bacterial small subunit ribosomal RNA
Source: RNAcentral
GAUGAAUGCUGGCGGCGUGCUUAACACAUGCAAGUCGAACGAGAACGGAUUAUAGCUUGCUAUAAUUGUCAGCUAAGUGGCGCACGGGUGAGUAAUGUAUAGGUAAUAUGCCUCUUACUAAGGGAUAACAAAUGGAAACGUUUGCUAAUACCUUAUACUCCUUAUUAACAUAAGUUAAUAAGGGAAAGAUUUAUUGGUAAGAGAUUAGCCUGUAUUGUAUCAGUUAGUUGGUGGGGUAAUGGCUUACCAAGACUAUGACACAUAACUGGUUUGAGAGGAUGAUCAGUCACACUGGAACUGAGACACGGUCCAGACUCCUACGGGAGGCAGCAGUGGGGAAUAUUGCACAAUGGACGAAAGUCUGAUGCAGCAACGCCGCGUGGAGGAUGACGCAUUUCGGUGCGUAAACUCCUUUUAUAUGAGAAGAUAAUGACGGUAUUAUAUGAAUAAGCACCGGCUAACUCCGUGCCAGCAGCCGCCGCCG